CAAUAGCGUAUAUUAAAGUUGUUGCGGUUAAAAAGCUCGUAGUUGGAGUUCUGCCAGGUGCCGCCUGUCCGCCCCAGUGGUGAGUACGUGGCGCGCAUUUGGCCCUUUCAAGGGGAGCGUAUCUGCACUUUAUUGUGUGGUGCGGGAUCCUUGACUUUUACUUUGAGGAAAUAGGAGUGUUCCAAGCAGGCUCUCGUCGUGCACAGCUCAGCAUGGAAUAAUAGCAUUGGACCUCGAUUCUAAGCUGUUGGUUGCCAGAAGCGAGGUAAUGAUUAAGAGGGACAGACGGGGGCAUCCGUAUUGCGGUGUUAGAGGUGAAAUUCUUGGAUCAUCGCAAGACGAACAACUGCGAAAGCAUUUGCCAAGCAUGUUUUCAUUAG
RNAcentral lists this ribosomal RNA (380 nucleotides) under uncultured eukaryote. RNAcentral describes it as "partial 18S ribosomal RNA". It matches the Rfam family "Eukaryotic small subunit ribosomal RNA", at positions 592 to 976 of the family's 1831-position model. The record is from RNAcentral.